GAUGAAGAACGUAGCGAAAUGCGAUAAGUAGUGUGAAUUGCAGAAUUCAGUGAAUCAUCGAAUCUUUGAACGCACAUUGCGCCCUUUGGUAUUCCAAAGGGCAUGCCUGUUCGAGCGUCAUUUGUACCCUCAAGCUUUGCUUGGUGUUGGGCGUCUUGUCUCUAGCUUUGCUGGAGACUCGCCUUAAAGUAAUUGGCAGCCGGCCUACUGGUUUCGGAGCGCAGCACAAGUCGCACUCUCUAUCAGCAAAGGUCUAGCAUCCAUUAAGCCUUUUUUUCAACUUUUGACCUGAUCAGGUAGGGAUACCCGCUGAACUUAAGCAUAUCAAUAAGCGGAGGA
RNAcentral lists this unclassified non-coding RNA (339 nucleotides) under soil metagenome. RNAcentral's name for it is "partial contains 5.8S ribosomal RNA, internal transcribed spacer 2, and large subunit ribosomal RNA". The stretch from base 1 to 120 matches the Rfam family "5.8S ribosomal RNA", at positions 35 to 154 of the family's 154-position model. The record is from RNAcentral.